Molecule: long non-coding RNA, 161 nt
Filed under: Meriones unguiculatus (Mongolian gerbil)
Lineage: Eukaryota; Metazoa; Chordata; Mammalia; Rodentia; Muridae
Description: lncRNA (ENSMUGG00000018605.1)
Source: RNAcentral
UUCUUUUGUGCUUUACUAGAUCUAAAAUGGUGCCAUUUUAUGUAGAAAACCUGAAAGAAUACAAAUGGAAAAAUUGUGCAAGUAGGUCGUCUGGCCUGUUCAUUGAAAACCUCCAGCUUAACACUGGACACCGAGGCAUUAUGCGGGUCAGGAUAUACUGA